CUCGGAGGUCAGUCAGGUAUUCGGAGCUUUAAACUCCAGCGGCCCGAUCCACAAGCAGCAGGCUGAAACACCAAGCGCCGCCUCCGGAGCGCUUCCAACACCACACACAACCAGCUCCUUAAAGCCCGGGAGCGGUGCCCCGCGAGCCCCGCGGCCGCCGGAAGAGACGGCGGAAGAGGCGGGGCUUCCUCGGAUGACGACAGUGGGGCGCCGCAGGCCUGGCGCGCCUUGGAGUUUAGAACAGGACCGGGACCUCGUGGAGAUGGCAGCCGCAGAAGCAGCUUUGGGGUCAUUGGUAACGGGUCUGUACGACGUGCAGGCUUUCAAGUUUGGGAACUUCGUACUGAAGAGCGGGCUCUCUUCCCCUGUUUACAUCGAUCUGCGUGGCAUCGUGUCUCGACCGCGUCUUCUAAGUCAGGUUGCAGAUAUUUUAUUCCAAACUGCCCAAAAUGCAGGAAUCAAUUUUGACAGUGUGUGUGGAGUACCUUAUACAGCUUUACCAUUGGCUGCAGUUAUCUGUUCAACCAACCAAAUUCCAAUGCUUAUUAGAAGGAAAGAAACAAAGGAUUAUGGUAAAAUAAAAGUAUUAUAAGCUUUAAGUUGAUACGUAACCUGAUAAUGUUAGAAUUUUUCUUCUAGGCACUGAUGUUUGCCGAAGUCACCUUGGAUAUUUUUCAUAGGUCCUUUAGAAUUGGUUAACUGUUACUGUAAAUUGCCUUCCUUUCCUUUAGAUUCUAGGGGUAAAAUGUUUUGUGAUGACUAAACAAUGUAAAACAGUGCUUUUUUGUACUAUAUCUGUGAAACCAAACAUUUUUAACCAGUCUUCCUCUCAGCAGCAGAAUGUUCUCAGAGCACAUACAUUCCUGGUAUGUUUAUAAUUUAAACUGCAUAAAGUGAAAUGCCACAUAAAAUUCUCUGAAGAUAUAUUUUCAUGGGUCCUUGGUAGUAAGUUAGUUAUAAGGUGUGUGUUUUAUACAUGUGAGCUUGCUUUAAAAACCCAUCAGUCUAGCCUGGCUUAGAGGAGCAUGGGACUCUUGACCUUGGGGUGGUGAGUUUGAGCCCCAUAUUAGGUCUAGAGAUUACAAAAAAAAAAUGAACUUUAAAAAAAAAAAACAAAAUAAGAACGGAUCAAUCUAAAAAUAUUGGGACUGACUUCAUAUUUGAUGACAUUAAGGAAUUAAUGAGUUUUUUUGUUUUAUGUUGGUGUGAUAGUAUUUCUCAAUUUUUUUAAUAGAGUCCUUUUACAAGAUGUGUUCUAAAAAUUUUUAUGAUGAAAAUCAUGACAUCUGGGGUUUGCUUCUAAAAAUUAUGGAGGGAGGGAAGAGGUAGGGAUGGAGCUGAAACAAGAUUGACCAUGAGUUAAGUGACAAGGUAUUUAGGGGGUUUGUUAUACUUCUUUGUCUAGUUUUUUUUUUUUUUUUAAGAUUUAUUUAUUUAUUUAUUAGAGACAGCC
RNA transcript from Ailuropoda melanoleuca (giant panda), 1453 nucleotides. It is a transcript of the gene named uridine monophosphate synthetase, with no coding region annotated. The transcript is spliced from 2 exons. The record is from RefSeq and is a predicted model, not a curated record. NCBI's taxonomy places the organism in Eukaryota, Metazoa, Chordata, Mammalia, Carnivora, Ursidae.